This 433-nucleotide ribosomal RNA is filed under the name uncultured bacterium. RNAcentral's name for it is "partial 16S ribosomal RNA". It matches the Rfam family "Bacterial small subunit ribosomal RNA", at positions 29 to 507 of the family's 1533-position model. The record is from RNAcentral.
AACGAACGCUGGCGGCAUGCCUAACACAUGCAAGUCGAACGAGACCUUCGGGUCUAGUGGCGCACGGGUGCGUAACGCGUGGGAACCUGCCCUUAGGUUCGGAAUAACUCCCCGAAAGGGGUGCUAAUACCGGAUAAUGUCUUCGGACCAAGGAUUUAUCGCCUUUGGAUGGGCCCGCGUUGGAUUAGCUAGUUGGUAGGGUAAAAGCCUACCAAGGCGACGAUCCAUAGCUGGUCUGAGAGGAUGAUCAGCCACACUGGAACUGAGACACGGCCCAGACUCCUACGGGAGGCAGCAGUGGGGAAUAUUGGACAAUGGGCGAAAGCCUGAUCCAGCAAUGCCGCGUGAGUGAUGAAGGCCUUAGGGUUGUAAAGCUCUUUUACCCGGGAUGAUAAUGACAGUACCGGGAGAAUAAGCUCCGGCUAACUCCGUG